Molecule: long non-coding RNA, 621 nt
Filed under: Homo sapiens (human)
Lineage: Eukaryota; Metazoa; Chordata; Mammalia; Primates; Hominidae
Description: non-protein coding lnc-ATP6V0A1-5:1
Source: RNAcentral
GCCCGCUCUCCCUUUUCCCGGCCCUUGGCACCACGUGGUGGCGAGGUUGAGAGCCUCUUACCACGCGGGAAUCAGCUAGUUAGAUAGUCCCCAGGUAUCUCCAGAUCCUCUGGGGACCCAACUCCUGAAUUGGGUUCUGGGGACAACAAAAAGAACAUGGGUGACUCCGCCUGCUUUGAACUUCAGUUUCUGCGUGAGCAGGGACACACACACCCGGAAACAUGACGUGGAAAUAGAGUAAUUACUAGAGUGCGUGGGGAGAGGGUAGUGGAUUUAACCCCGUACUCCGUUCCAUCACUUCAAGCAUCAAACGCCGACCAGCUAGCCCAUUGGCCCGUACAGGCGAAUGCAGAAGACGGUGUAUACGAAAGCUGAUAACGUGUAGGGCUUGACAUUUUUAUGCGUCUGAAUUGAAAUACAUGAAAUGUUCUGCCUUUUUCUUUUCCACCUUGCCUACUUGGUAUGCAAGUUUUACUGAAUUGAAGCCAGUGGUUGAUAGGAAAUGUAGACAUUUUGCCUUUCAUAAUAGAGGAUGAACUUUGCAUAAUGGAGUGAUUUCUGUGUAUGUGCUGAUACUAUCAGGGUUUUUAAUUUUUAUUUUUUUGGGUCUUUAAAAAUAUG